GUGUCAGCAGCCGCGGUAAUACAGAGGGUGCAAGCGUUGUUCGGAAUUAUUGGGCGUAAAGGGAGUGUAGGCGGUUGUCUAAGUCUUCUGUGAAAUCUACGGGCUUAGCCUGUAACGUGCAGAGGAAACUGGGCGACUUGAGUGUCGGAGAGGAUAGGGGAAUACCCGGUGUAGAGGUGAAAUUCGUAGAGAUCGGGUGGAACACCAGUGGCGAAGGCGCCUAUCUGGCUGACAACUGACGCUGAGACUCGAAAGCAUGGGGAGCAAACAGGAUUAGAUACCCCGGUAGUCC
Molecule: ribosomal RNA, 292 nt
Filed under: uncultured bacterium
Lineage: Bacteria
Description: partial 16S ribosomal RNA
Rfam family: Bacterial small subunit ribosomal RNA
Source: RNAcentral